ACGGAAGGCAGCAGUGAGGAAUAUUGGUCAAUGGGCGGGAGCCUGAACCAGCCAAGUAGCGUGUAGGAAGACUGCCCUAUGGGUUGUAAACUACUUUUGUCCAGGAAUAAAAAGGGCCACGUGUGGCUCGUUGCAGGUACUGGUUGAAUAAGGACCGGCUAAUUCCGUGCCAGCAGCCGCGGUAAUACGGAAGGUCCGAGCGUUAUCCGGAUUUAUUGGGUUUAAAGGGAGCGCAGGCGGAGUGAUAAGCCAGCCGUUAAAUAGUCGGGCUCAACCCGAUCUUGCGGUUGGAACUGUCGCCCUUGAGUGCGGGAGAGGAAGGCGGAACUCGUGGUGUAGCGGUGAAAUGCAUAGAUAUCACGAAGAACUCCGAUUGCGAAGGCAGCUUUCCGGUCCGUGACUGACGCUGAGGCUCGAAGGCGCGGGUAUCAAACAGGAUUAGAUACCCUGGUA
This 453-nucleotide ribosomal RNA is filed under the name uncultured Prevotellaceae bacterium. RNAcentral describes it as "partial 16S ribosomal RNA". It matches the Rfam family "Bacterial small subunit ribosomal RNA", at positions 341 to 792 of the family's 1533-position model. Lineage: Bacteria; Pseudomonadati; Bacteroidota; Bacteroidia; Bacteroidales; Prevotellaceae. The record is from RNAcentral.